AUUUAUUAUUUCUGCUUUACUGCAUUUGUAUGCCAUGUUUCUGUGACCUAGUGUAUAGUCAAUCUUUGUGAAUGUGCCAUGUGGUGCUGAGAAGAAGGUGUAUUCCUUUUUGUCCCUAUUUAUUUUUCUCCAUAUGUCUAUUAACUCUAAUUUUUCUAAGAUUUCAUUCACUUCUUUUACCUCUCUCUUAUUUAUUUUUUGAUUUGAUUUAUCUAAAUUUGAUAGUGGUUGGUUCAAAUCUCCCACUAAUAUGGUUUUACUGUCUAUUUCUUCCUUCAGUUCUCCUAGUUUCUCCAUUAGAAAUUUGGGUGCUAUACUAUUUGGUAGAUACAUGUUGAUCAGUGAUAUUUCCUCAUUAUCUAAAGUCCCUUUUAACAAAAUAUAGUUACCUUCCCUAUCCCUUUUAAUCAUGUCUAUUUUUGCUUUGGCUUUGUCAGAUAUCAUGAUUGCAACUCCUGCCUUCUUUCUAUUAGUUGAGGCCCAGAAGGUCUUACUCCAUCCUUUAAUUCUUACCUUGUGGGUGUCUACCUGCCUCAUGUAUGUUUCUUGAAGACAACAUAUGGUAGGGUUUUGGAUUCUAAUCCAUUCUGCUAUUUCUGGCUUUUCUGGGAGUCCAAUUAUUCUUAAAUUUUCUCUUCUCCCCCUGUUUUCCAGAUCUAUCACCUUGUCGGUGAGAUAUUUUAUGUUCUCUUCUAAUUUCUUGGUGUUUUGGCUUUGCUUUAUUAGUUCUUGCUUUAAAGCCUGGUUUUCUUUUACAGUUUGGUCAAACUGGUUUUGUAGAUGCGUGAAUUUCUUUUGCAUCAUUUCCCACUUUUCCUCCCAGAGGGCUUCCAUCUUUUUGGUCCUUUCUGAUUCAAAUUCUUCAUGUGUUUGUGGAGAGUUUCUAUUUCCUUUGGAAGAUUUUGGAGAAUUUUCUUGUAUAUCUUCUUCUAUCUGCUCUGUAUUUUGUAUUUUGGCUCCAUAGAAUGUGUCCAGAGUCGCCCCUUUCUUCUUAUUUUUCUUGGUAUUUUGGGGCUUCUGUGCUUCUGUGGAGUUUGUCAUCUCUGAACGUGGAGGAUUGGCUUUUCUUGUCUUUGUCUGGUGAUCAGAGGCUUUAGUCCUGGGCAGAUGUUGGUUCUAUGAGCGUUCCCUGGGUUAAACUGAAUAUGCCUCACUGGAACUGGAAUGGAAGGGUCGGACCACGAGGCCACACUCUCCCCCUGGCUCGAUUUCCGGAAGUUGCCUUCAGAAUCCCUGGCCGUGAGGCUGUUUCGUCGGCCUGCGGGGGGAUGGGCUGCCGCUUCCCCAAGCUCCGAGAGCACAGACUUUCACUGAGACUUGGAUAGCAGGAUCCAGCCCGUGAGGCUGUCUUGCCCGCCCUGAGGGUUGCUGUUGUUUUGACCAGCUCUCUGCAGCGGAGGCCCCAGGCAGUAACUUUCACCUGGACCGACCAGCUCUUUGCAGCGGAGGCCCCAGGCAGUAACUUUCACCCGGACCGACCGGCUCUCUGCAGCGGAAGCCCCAGGCAGUAACUUUCACCCGGACUGGGACUUGGGUAGAAGACCCUGAGGGUUGUUGUUCCUCAGACCCUGCUCUCUGAGCCCGGCGCGGCUGCCGCUUCCCAAGCUCCGAGAGCACAGACUUUCACUGAUACUUGGAUAGCAGGAUCCAGCCCGUGAGGCUGUCUUGCCCGCCCUGAGGGUUGCUGUUGUUUUGACCAGCUCUCUGCAGCGGAGGCCCCAGGCAGUAACUUUCACCUGGACCGACCAGCUCUUUGCAGCGGAGGCCCCAGGCAGUAACUUUCACCCGGACCGACCGGCUCUCUGCAGCGGAAGCCCCAGGCAGUAACUUUCACCCGGACUGGGACUUGGGUAGAAGACCCUGAGGGUUGUUGUUCCUCAGACCCUGCUCUCUGAGCCCGGCGCGGCUGCCGCUUCCGGGAGCCUUGGACUCUGCGCUCCUACCCCUGAGGUCCGAGGGAUCUC
RNAcentral lists this long non-coding RNA (1964 nucleotides) under Monodelphis domestica (gray short-tailed opossum). RNAcentral describes it as "lncRNA (ENSMODG00000048795.1)". The record is from RNAcentral. Lineage: Eukaryota; Metazoa; Chordata; Mammalia; Didelphimorphia; Didelphidae.